Molecule: ribosomal RNA, 262 nt
Filed under: Vibrio renipiscarius
Lineage: Bacteria; Pseudomonadati; Pseudomonadota; Gammaproteobacteria; Vibrionales; Vibrionaceae
Description: partial 23S ribosomal RNA
Rfam family: Bacterial large subunit ribosomal RNA
Source: RNAcentral
GUUGUAUGGUUAAGUGACUAAGCGUACACGGUGGAUGCCUUGGCAGUCAGAGGCGAUGAAAGACGUAGUAACUUGCGAUAAGCCCAGAUUAGGUAGUAACAACCAUUUGAGUCUGGGAUUUCUGAAUGGGGAAACCCACGUGCAUAAGCACGUAUCAUUAACUGAAUACAUAGGUUAAUGAGGCGAACCGGGGGAACUGAAACAUCUAAGUACCCCGAGGAAGAGAAAUCAGCCGAGAUUCCGAAAGUAGCGGCGAGCGAAA